GACGAACGCUGGCGGCGUGCUUAACACAUGCAAGUCGAACGCUGAAGCUCAGCUUUUGUUGGGUGGAUGAGUGGCGAGCGGGUGAGUAACACGUGAGUAACCUGCCCCCUUCUUUGGGAUAACGCCCGGAAACGGGUGCUAAUACUGGAUAUUCACUGGUCUUCGCAUGGGGGUUGGUGGAAAGGGUUUUUCUGGUGGGGGAUGGGCUCGCGGCCUAUCAGCUUGUUGGUGGGGUGAUGGCCUACCAAGGCUUUGACGGGUAGCCGGCCUGAGAGGGUGACCGGUCACAUUGGGACUGAGAUACGGCCCAGACUCCUACGGGAGGCAGCAGUGGGGAAGAUUGCACAAUGGGCGCAAGCCUGAUGCAGCGACGCCGCGUGAGGGAUGGAGGCCUUCGGGUUGUGAACCUCUUUCGCUCAUGGUCAAGCCGCAACAAUGGUUGUGGUGAGGGUAGUGGGUAAAGAAGCGCCGGCUAACUACGUG
RNAcentral lists this ribosomal RNA (483 nucleotides) under uncultured bacterium. RNAcentral's name for it is "partial 16S ribosomal RNA". It matches the Rfam family "Bacterial small subunit ribosomal RNA", at positions 28 to 507 of the family's 1533-position model. The record is from RNAcentral.